AUGAAGGCCUUAGGGUUGUAAAGCUCUUUUACCCGGGAUGAUAAUGACGGGACCGGUAGAAUAAGCCCCGGCUAACUCCGGUGCCAGCAGCCGCGGUAAUAUAAUA
RNAcentral lists this ribosomal RNA (106 nucleotides) under uncultured bacterium. RNAcentral describes it as "partial 16S ribosomal RNA". It matches the Rfam family "Bacterial small subunit ribosomal RNA", at positions 408 to 529 of the family's 1533-position model. The record is from RNAcentral.